RNAcentral lists this ribosomal RNA (524 nucleotides) under Haemophilus sp. oral clone BP2-22. RNAcentral's name for it is "bacterial SSU rRNA". It matches the Rfam family "Bacterial small subunit ribosomal RNA", at positions 8 to 521 of the family's 1533-position model. Lineage: Bacteria; Pseudomonadati; Pseudomonadota; Gammaproteobacteria; Pasteurellales; Pasteurellaceae. The record is from RNAcentral.
AGAGUUUGAUCCUGGCUCAGAUUGAACGCUGGCGGCAGGCUUAACACAUGCAAGUCGAACGGUAACAUAAAGGAGCUUGCUUCUUUGAUGACGAGUGGCGGACGGGUGAGUAAUGCUUGGGAAUCUAGCUUAUGGAGGGGGAUAACUACGGGAAACUGUAGCUAAUACCGCGUAGAAUCGGGAGAUGAAAGUGUGGGACCUUCGGGCCACAUGCCAUAGGAUGAGCCCAAGUGGGAUUAGGUAGUUGGUGAGGUAAAGGCUCACCAAGCCGACGAUCUCUAGCUGGUCUGAGAGGAUGACCAGCCACACUGGGACUGAGACACGGCCCAGACUCCUACGGGAGGCAGCAGUGGGGAAUAUUGCGCAAUGGGGGCAACCCUGACGCAGCCAUGCCGCGUGAAUGAAGAAGGCCUUCGGGUUGUAAAGUUCUUUCGGUAGCGAGGAAGGCAUUUAGUUUAAUAGACUAGGUGAUUGACGUUAACUACAGAAGAAGCACCGGCUAACUCCGUGCCAGCAGCCGCGGU